This is a long non-coding RNA of Anopheles funestus (African malaria mosquito), 2336 nucleotides long. RefSeq lists it as uncharacterized. The record is from RefSeq and is a predicted model, not a curated record. The transcript has 3 exons. Lineage: Eukaryota; Metazoa; Arthropoda; Insecta; Diptera; Culicidae.
GCUUUCGUAAAGGGAAGUGUGGCGAAAAAAAUGCUCAUGAAUAUGUGGGGAAAUAUUUCUUGAAGAAUUUCAUACAGCAGAAAGCAUAAGUUGAGAGUAAUUUGUUAAAUCAAGAUAUUGCAAAAUAAGUAGAAAUUAUAUUUUUUAUAUAUUAAAUAAAUAAAGAAAAACUGAACACAAAUUAAGAGGUGCGAUAAAUGCUUUACGCAAUCCUAUACUUGACUCCAAUCUUUUAGGCGCAUCGAUAUGGGAUAGUUGUUGGAUAUGGGAAGUUGUCGGAGCUACGUAGGCAACAACAAAAUAAUUGAUUCGAUUACUGUAGUAAGUGUGAAUAAAUCAGAUGCAAAUUGCCACUAAUUCUGUGAAAUCAAGCGCACUACAACACAUCUGCCAUCACCUCAACCGUAGUACUACACCGUAUAAACUGCGACAGAGAGAUAGAGAGAGAGAUGAAGAAUGUCACUGGAUAGUGGCAAGAUUUAUGAUCACCGGUUGUAGUGCUGCAGUACAACGUUUGCAUCAUCGGUACUUCAGUACCAAACGCCUACGGAGGUGCAUCGGAUCGUGGGGUGAGUGAGUAAGAUGUCGCCGUGAGCGAUCGUUGGCAUAUUGUUCCAGAGAAUCUGCCCAGCUGAAACUCCCGGAGGUCGCGAAUGGUUAUGAAUCACUGAACCAGAACCGGUUCAGUUUAAUGGGGUGGCGCGUACAACCCACCAACCGGGAGGUUAAAUCAAUCCUGGGCUGUGUGAUGUUGGUAAGGUACAGGACAAACAAUUUGCGACGGAACAGGCCAUUUUUUAGCUUUACAGCAAAAGCUUCGGUCGUAUUCGGUGUUUCAUCAACGCUGUUAUCAUGGGAAGAAAAAUUCUUUCCACACACGCUUGGCUAACUAAACGGGUUGAUGAAUAGGAGAUGCACUGAACUAAUCCCAGAAUUAAUUAUUCAGUAAUAAGUGUGCUGAAAGAAUGGCUGGCUUGACCACUGCAGCACCGUUUUAUCCGAGAUCAAACAUUAGCCGGAUAAUGGACCAGCACGGAUAAAAGGUACAUCUUUGUCUUUGAUCAAUAAUUGAAGCCUUUACCAUUUGUCCAUAUAGACAUUAAAGAUGAUCUGUCAAAUUGCGUUUUGAACUGUCAUUGGUGAGUAACACGGAUAAACUGUCAUCCGGUUAAAAGUGUACCCGAAUAAACGAAAUUCACUGUAUGUUCAUGGAAUAUGUUCAAGUAGAUAAAAGCAAAGUGUUUUUAUUUUGUUUUUUUUUUAAUAAUAAACGGUCUAACACGAUUUUCUAUUACUUCUUGACAUGACUUCUCCAAUCGGUACAUUAUGAACCACAAUAAAUGUCACUUUUUUCUUUUUCAACACAAACAGAAAAUAAAAACCCUCUGUUUAGCCAACGUUAGCUUAGCAAAUCAGCCAAGGCAAUCCUUAUGAAAUAAUCUACGCUUAUUACAAAAUCAUUACAAGUGCACGUUGCAUGAUGUUUGCAUUCACGUUAGAUCGCAGCGGUCAUAUAUUUGAACCAGCACAAACGCAGAAACAAACGUGACACACCAGAUGAUCGAGUUCUUUGCUAACGCACUACUAACAGCUCGAUUCAAUAAAGCUACGGGAGAAACAUUAGAACGCAUCCGAUGAUAGACAUUUACGUUUCGUGAUGAGUUUUAUGGCGUUUGCUUGUUAGCGACAGUACAGGCAACCAUGAUGGUGGCCCCCACCGCUUGAACAGCAGUUCGUAGUUCAACCCCCAUAUCAACGGGAUCGUAAGAUGUUUGAUGGCUUUUACCCUGCCAGCACAAAGAGAUAUUCGAUCGUGUGGGUCAUGAUCGAUACCGUACAGCCGCAGCGCAGCGUAUGUAUGCGUGUCUGUAAUCGGAGAUUUUUGGACAAAAAUUCAUAAGUUGGGUACCUAAGACGGGUAAAAUCGUAAACUGUGUGUAAAACAUAUUUUAACGAGUAUGUUUUUAUGGGUAACGCGUGUUGGAAACCGUAGCGAUUGUCGACAAUGUUUCGUUUUAUGGUUGGACGAAAUUAUGAAUUAUGAUCCAUCCAGGCACCAGAUUUGUUUGUUAUGUGUCCGUAAAUACGAUUUUGUGUUAAAUUAAGACAAUAUUUAAUGUUUCUUUUCGCUGUUGGAUAAGCGUUUAUCGCAAAUGAAUUAUUAUAGUUGAAGUUAAUGACGGUGUUCUUCGUCAUUUGGUCCACCGUCUCCAUUCUCAUUGGUUUUGUUGGUUGAAAUUGGAUGCUCAGAGCAAGUAACCAUUGAAAAAUACAGUAAUGUCAGAUAGUCUCGGAGAUAUACGAUACUUGAUAUAGGAAGAUUUUAAAACUUGACA